CAAAUCUCAGAGCCGCCGCACGCUGUGGCCGCAGCUCCAAGCACAACAGCGGGGGCCUCGUCACCUCCGGGGAGCUGCGGGUGCCCCUGGGAGUGAAUGUGGAGGCCGCACACAC
This is a small nucleolar RNA of Lepus europaeus (European hare), 115 nucleotides long. RefSeq annotates it as small nucleolar RNA SNORA68. The record is from RefSeq and is a predicted model, not a curated record. Lineage: Eukaryota; Metazoa; Chordata; Mammalia; Lagomorpha; Leporidae. The transcript has a single exon.